ACUGAUUAUAGUCUAUAUUACAUAAUUAAUUUGAAUAGAAGAAUAGUUUAACUGAUAUAUAUAUAUUUUUAAACCACGAUUUAUCUAUAAUGAAUACUGACAUUUCUUUAUUAAUUAUUCGAAGUGGCUAUUAUUUCUUCAGGCAACAAAUCUAUCGAUCUUGAAUGUUGUCAAUAAAGUGACAGUUUAUCGAACAUAUAUGUAUAUUCGUUCUACUUAAACAGCUUGUUAGCAUCGUUCUAGAUAAUGUCAAUUUGAAAGAAAGAAAGAAAAAAAAAUCUUGUUGAUGGAUUGACAGAAUUAUUUUCAAAAAUUUCCUAACUGAAAACUCUUUACUAACGUCGUGAAUUAAAUGACAUGAUUUAAUUAUACAGGGCGCUGGUUGUAUUAAUUUUCUGAGAAGCACACAAGGAAAAAAUGAUAUGAUCUUUAUUAUAAGAAUUGAGAAAAAAAUAAGAAUUAAGAAGAGAAUAGGUGAUUUUUUGUUGCUUAUUGGAUUUAAAUGAGAAUUUCAUGAAGUUAAAUUAAAAAUAAGAGUUGAAGAAGUGCGGUUGGUGUAUAAAGAAGAUAUCAAGUAGUGACAGAAUCUCCACAGACUAUUUUAAGACAAGCGAUAAAUUUCAACUUGAAGUUUACUAUUUGAGAGAAAAUUAAUGAAAUUCUAAGAAGUAAUUAAUAUUUUCUGGACAUUUCCUAUGAACAAUUUGUUUAAUAUUUACUAAUGCUUGAGGCUUUAUAUGUCAAAUUGAAGCACGAUCUCUAGCAAUGCCUAGAGCAUCAGCCUCCUUGCUUGUCAUCACAACACUACCUAUUUAUUAGUUACGGGAUCCUGAAAAUAGCCAAUAUACCUGCCCAAACAGGUAGGUAAUUCGCCGUUACUUACGUGUGAUACUCGGAAGUUAUGUGUGUGUAUAACUGUACCGGAAAGGGCCUUUCACUUAAAAUAUGAGGAUUAAAAAAUGAAGUGGAAGAGCCUCUACUCGAUUCUUUAUCUACAAAGAUUCAGAUGCCAAAGAUAAUUUAGGAAAUAUAUAUAAUAAUAACAUAAUUGGAAAGAGCAAUUCUCGAAAGUUACUUUACUCUUCAGAUGUUUAUUAAGAAGUAUUCUAGUCACGAUAUAGUCUAAUGCCAACAAUAAUGAUAAUUUAUUACACAAAGCAAGCUUCCUACGUGAAAAGAAAAAUUUGUGUCUUAUCAGCAAAGAAGGUAAUUUCCCAGUAGUGUAUAAUUUGAAAAUACUUUGCAACAAACGGAUGAACCACACCCCGAGGGAUUAGAGCCUACUCAAAGGUUUAGGCUGAAGAAAGGAAGAGAGUGAAUGGAUGAGGAGGAGGAUAAGAAGGAGUAGUUAGGAAUAGAACUGAGAAAUCAGAAGAUUUCUUCAGGCAAAUAUUUUAGUUGUAAUUAUUAUUUUUUAAAUGUUCCAUUUUCGAGAUUUGCCGAAACAAUAAUUUGGAUUAUAGGUAAGAGUAGAGUUACUCUCCAGGACCCUGUGAAAAAAAUAGGCUACCACGAAACCUGGAAAUCUCACCCCUUCCCAAUUUCAUUUACGUUUAAUUGUUGAAUCCUAGAAGGAAAAUUUUCAACAAAUCAAAGGAGAUAAGAUCUUGAAUUUAGUAAAUGGCUACAAUAAAGGACAAGCUGAUAGGAAGAAGACGAAGGGGAAAGAAAAAAAAAAAAGAAGAAGAGGAGGAGGAGGAUAGAUUAUUAUAAUUCCAAACCAAGAUUACACCCAAAUAUUUUAUGAUUAUUAAUAAGGAGAUAAGUGAAAAAAGAAGAAGAGUAAUAUUUAAUCAUCCAAGAUGAUAAAUUGAAAGCAAUGACAUCCAUUAAACAUUUUGAAAGAAUUUUGUCUCAUACCCUUUAAUAACAAGAUAUAUAAUUAGAUAACUCAUUACAGUCUUCUUAGUGGCAAAGAUGAAUAUUCUAAACAUGAAUGAAGUAUUCUUAUCAAAACAUUGAAUGUUAAGGGGUGGGUGCUUAAUAGCUUUGUUGUUAUCUUCUCAAGAAUUGCACUCUUAAAAUAUAUUAUACAAUAUAAUGUUCGUGUAAUCGAUAGUCUUUCAUUAAACAAAAUUGAUUUUUUUUUCUUCUUUUUGGAAUAUUAAUUAGAUUUUGUGCUUCUUUAUAAAAUUA
This is a long non-coding RNA of Centruroides sculpturatus (bark scorpion), 2136 nucleotides long. RefSeq lists it as uncharacterized. The record is from RefSeq and is a predicted model, not a curated record. The transcript is spliced from 12 exons. NCBI's taxonomy places the organism in Eukaryota, Metazoa, Arthropoda, Arachnida, Scorpiones, Buthidae.